This 858-nucleotide ribosomal RNA is filed under the name uncultured Halobacteria archaeon. RNAcentral describes it as "bacterial SSU rRNA". It matches the Rfam family "Archaeal small subunit ribosomal RNA", at positions 408 to 1263 of the family's 1478-position model. Lineage: Archaea; Methanobacteriati; Methanobacteriota; Halobacteria. The record is from RNAcentral.
UUUCUGAACCCUAGGGUGGUUCAGGAACAAGGACUGGGCAAGACCGGUGCCAGCCGCCGCGGUAAUACCGGCAGUCCGAGUGAUGGCCGAUAUUAUUGGGCCUAAAGCGUCCGUAGCCGGCCGGACAAGUCCGUUGGGAAAUCGACGCGCUCAACGCGUCGGCGUCCAGCGGAAACUGUCCGGCUUGGGGCCAGAAGAUCUGAGGGGUACGUCCGGGGUAGGAGUGAAAUCCCGUAAUCCUGGACGGACCACCGGUGGCGAAAGCGCCUCAGAAAGAUGGACCCGACGGUGAGGGACGAAAGCUAGGGUCUCGAACCGGAUUAGAUACCCGGGUAGUCCUAGCCGUAAACAAUGCUCACUAGGUGUGACGCAGGCUACGAGCCUGCGUUGUGCCCUAGGGAAGCCGAGAAGUGAGCCGCCUGGGAAGUACGUCCGCAAGGAUGAAACUUAAAGGAAUUGGCGGGGGUGCACUACAACCGGAGGAGCCUGCGGUUUAAUUGGACUCAACGCCGGAAAUCUCACCGGCCCCGACAGUAGUAAUGACGGUCAGGUUGACGACUUUACCCGAUGCUACUGAGAGGAGGUGCAUGGCCGCCGUCAGCUCGUACCGUGAGGCGUCCUGUUAAGUCAGGCAACGAGCGAGACCCGCACUUCUAGUUGCCAGCAACACCCUUGUGGUGGUUGGGUACACUAGGAGGACUGCCGCUGCUAAAGCGGAGGAAGGAACGGGCAACGGUAGGUCAGUAUGCCCCGAAUGGGCCGGGCAACACGCGGGCUACAAUGGCCGGGACAAUGUGAUGCCACGCCGAGAGGCGGAGCUAAUCACCUAAACCCGGUCGUAGUUCGGAUUGCGGGCUG